RNAcentral lists this ribosomal RNA (420 nucleotides) under Klebsiella pneumoniae. RNAcentral describes it as "partial 23S ribosomal RNA". It matches the Rfam family "Bacterial large subunit ribosomal RNA", at positions 2404 to 2823 of the family's 2925-position model. Lineage: Bacteria; Pseudomonadati; Pseudomonadota; Gammaproteobacteria; Enterobacterales; Enterobacteriaceae. The record is from RNAcentral.
AGCAGGUCAUAGUGAUCCGGUGGUUCUGAAUGGAAGGGCCAUCGCUCAACGGAUAAAAGGUACUCCGGGGAUAACAGGCUGAUACCGCCCAAGAGUUCAUAUCGACGGCGGUGUUUGGCACCUCGAUGUCGGCUCAUCACAUCCUGGGGCUGAAGUAGGUCCCAAGGGUAUGGCUGUUCGCCAUUUAAAGUGGUACGCGAGCUGGGUUUAGAACGUCGUGAGACAGUUCGGUCCCUAUCUGCCGUGGGCGCUGGAGAAUUGAGGGGGGCUGCUCCUAGUACGAGAGGACCGGAGUGGACGCAUCACUGGUGUUCGGGUUGUCAUGCCAAUGGCACUGCCCGGUAGCUAAAUGCGGAAGAGAUAAGUGCUGAAAGCAUCUAAGCACGAAACUUGCCCCGAGAUGAGUUCUCCCUGAGACUU